AUGGACGCCGUCGCCUUCUCCCCCGCUCCGAGCCCCAACGCCGCGCCAUUCCCAUCCGCCUCCCGGUCCUCGCGCGGCCACCGCUUCUCCAUCCGCGGCCCGCGGCGGCGGCGCCCGCUCCCGGCCCUCCGAUCCAGCGCCUCCGCCUCCGCCCACGCCCCCGCCUCCCACCACGACGUGGUCGUCGUGGGCGCCGGGAUCGUCGGGCUCUCCAUCGCCCGCCACCUCCUCCUCCACACCCCGCUCUCCGUCGCCGUCGCCGACGCCGCAGUCCCCUGCUCCGGCGCCACCGGCGCAGGGCAGGGGUACGUGUGGAUGUCACACCGGACGCCCGGGAGCGACACGUGGGACCUGGCGGUGCGGAGCAAGCAGCUGUGGGAGGAGCUCGCGGCCGAGAUGGACGGCCUCCGCGCCGGCGGCGCGCGUGAGAGCCUCGGAUGGAUGAGGACAGGAAGCUUAUUGGUUGGAAGAACCUCUAAAGAGCUGGCUACGCUGGAGGAGAAGACUAAGGUUCUGUCUCAGGCAGGCAUCAAUGCGGAGUGCUUGUCUGCCUCUUCGUUGCAUGCAUUAGAACCCGCACUCUGUGUCGGAAACGAUGGUGGUGCUAUGUUCUUACCUGAUGACCGUCAGAUCGAUGCGUUCCAGGCCGUGUCUUUGAUUGAAAAGAUCAAUAGGUCAUAUACUCCAAAAGGGAGAUAUAUGGAGCUCUACAAUGAUCCUGCCAUGUCAUUGAUAAGAUCAGAGGUUACUGGAAGGGUUGAAGGUGUCCAAACUUCUAAGAACAUCUUAUAUGGCAGAAAAGCUACUGUAGUUGCUUCUGGUGCUUGGACUCGGUCCUUAUUGCAUAGUUUCUUAGGACCAAAUUCUUCACUGGAUAUUCCUGUGAAGCCACGAAAGGGUCAUCUGCUUGUGUUGGAAAAUUUUGACAUGCUAAAGCUGAAUCAUGGCAUAAUGGAGCUGGGAUAUGUUGACCAUCAGGGCGAUAAUUCACAUAGCAUACACUUGUCCUCAACAUCCAAUAAAGAUGAGCAUGACGCCGCAUCCAUAUCAAUGACAGCAACAUUAAAUACAAAAGGGCAUUUAGUUUUAGGAAGCAGCAGGGAGUUUAAAGGAUUUUCAAGGGAGGUUGAUAAAUCCAUACUGAAGAGUAUAUGGGACCGUGCAGGAGAAUUCUUUCCUGCCAUCAACAAUGUUCAUCUUGAUAUUGAUGAGGACAAAGAAAUCAGAAUUGGGCACCGUCCCUACAUGCCUGAUGGGAAGCCAGUAAUUGGAUUUGUUCCGGAUAUGUCAAAUGUUUUGAUUGCAACAGGACAUGAAGGAAGUGGACUUGCUUUGGCGCUAGGUACUGCUGAAAUGGUAACAGAUAUGAUUCUUGGUGACCCUGGAAGAGUGGACUUCACGCCUUUCUCCAUAGAAAAUAGAUUUUCAGGAACAGCAUGA
This 1440-nucleotide ribosomal RNA is filed under the name Triticum aestivum (bread wheat). RNAcentral's name for it is "partial small subunit ribosomal RNA". Lineage: Eukaryota; Viridiplantae; Streptophyta; Magnoliopsida; Poales; Poaceae. The record is from RNAcentral.